UUCUGACUGGGAUGCCCAACCGCGCUGGUCUGUUAUUGCCACCGGUUUGGGGCAGCGGCGGGGCGCUGACAGAACGGCAGAUCGCAAGGGUGAAGGCGCGCCCUGCCUAACUUUUCGGCAGUCUCCCGCCCCGAAGCCUCCGGGCCAGCUCCGCUCGGCUAUUCCCGCCAGACUCAAGGAGGCUUGGCAAGCAUGACUCUGUGGGUCCAUCAUUCCAGAAUGAAAAAGGCCCAUAAUCUGGAAGAAGAAAUACAUCAGUGGAAGGCCCAGCCAGACCCCCAGAAUCCCCUCCGCCUCUGCAUCUGACGAUUACCCUCUAAUAAACACCUGCACUUCGUGGAUCCUGGCCCUUGCCAGUGUGGAAUCUCUCAUCCUGGGAAUUGGACUCUCUGCUGCUGCCCCUCUGACUGGAAAGUCCCCCACAAAGUUGCCCUUUCCAUUGUCUAUUGGGUAAUCAUAGGUUGUGCUGCUGUGCUUACUUGCCUCUCUUAACUUUAAAUUUGGACCUCAGCCUGUCUAACUUCCCCAUAUCCCCAAACUAAGUUUCUCUCUGUAAUGUUAUGUCUAUACCUUCUUGGACUGUUCCUAACUGCCCAAACCGCAUUGGGAUAAAGAAACCCUAAGCUAUAUAACCUCACACUGUCUUCAGGGGGAAGAGUCUUAGCUCAAAGUAAUUGGAGGUAUGAAUGUAAGCCAUCUAAUCUCCUGGCAAUCACACCUGGUCCUAUGCUGACCCUCUACCUACCUGACCUGUUUCCUGAAACAAACAUACCUACAUACUCAGGCCGAGUCCAAAGAAUAAUAGAAAACCCUCCUGUGUACAUGUGCCCUGAUAACCCCCCUGAAACCCAAAAAAUGAAACCUUGCAAUGACCCCAGACAAUUUUAUUGCCCCUACUGGAUAUGUGUUACUGAAGCCACCUUUUCAGGAGGGCCAACUAGUAACCCUUGACUAUUUUUAAAACAGGGGUCAGCAGGAAUACUUAACCUCACUGUAAACCAACCCCUACAUUAUCAGUGGGGAACUGGAUACACUUUGGCAAUCAGGCUAUACAAGUCUGGAUAUGAUACAGGAGCCCUAAUAACCAUCCAGCAUCAAGAGCCAAGAUUCACUCUAAGGCCACAUGGACCCUUGGUAGGCUUAGAGGAUCCCCAUAAAGUUCUCCCCAAGGGCUCUGGACUGUCCCCAGCAGAGGCUUCACCCCACCCAAAAAGAAAAACAUGGCGAAAUCGUAGCUUGUUUCCUAUGUUGCAAAAUAUGCACCAACUCCUAAAUAUAACGCUGCCCUGAUGCAGGAAGUAAAUCAAGAUUUAGAGCAGUUUAAAUCCACCAUGAAUCAACUUCAAGAUCAAGUUGAUUCCCUGGCUGAAAUGGUGUUGCAAAAUCAUUGAGGACUUGACCUCCUAUUCAUGUCUCAGGGAGGUUUAUGCAUAGCCCUUGAAGAAGAUUGCUGUUUUUAUGCAAACCAGUCUGGCAUAGUUAGAAGCUCACUAGCUAAAGUAAAAGAGAAAUCCGAUGUAGAAAUAAAGUACUAGAAAACAAAAAGUCCUGGUUUUGGGGAUGGUUUGAAUGGAACCCAUGGCUAACAACUCUUCUAACUGGCCUUGCUGGGCCAGCAGCCCUUUUGCUCCUUGGGCUCCUAGUAGGACCAUGUCUCCUCAACUGGCUCAUUAACUUUUAUUAAGGAACACAUUUCCUCCAUACAGCUCGUGUACAUGCAAAGCCAUUAUGACCCUGUCAUAAAUCAAGAUGAUGAUGCCCCCUAAAACAAGGUGUUUAAAGGGGCAUUAGAGGGGGCAGUGAUAAGGAAAAUAUUCAACAUGGCCGAUAGAGCCCACAGGAGAAUCUCAGUCCCUCCCCACCUUGAGACCCUUCUGGGUUCUUCUUCCGACCUGCUUGCCGCUCACACCAAACCGCCACAUAGGUGGAAAGGUAUAAAUUGCUCCCCUUACCUGUGCUUGGGCUCAGACUUUUGGAGAUCACUCUCCUUGAGCCCACUGGUGUGAAAUAAACCUCCACCCUCCAAGA
Molecule: long non-coding RNA, 2028 nt
Organism: Manis pentadactyla (Chinese pangolin)
Lineage: Eukaryota; Metazoa; Chordata; Mammalia; Pholidota; Manidae
Exons: 2
Source: RefSeq, a predicted model, not a curated record